AUAACUGGCUUGUGGCGGCCAAGCGUUCAUAGCGACGUCGCUUUUUGAUCCUUUAAUGUCGGCACUUCCUAUCAUUGCGAAGCAGAAUUCGCAAAGCGCUGUAUUGUUCACCCACCAAUAGGAAACGUGACCUGGGUUAAGACCGUCGUGAGACAGGUU
Molecule: ribosomal RNA, 159 nt
Filed under: Ixodes scapularis (black-legged tick)
Lineage: Eukaryota; Metazoa; Arthropoda; Arachnida; Ixodida; Ixodidae
Description: eukaryotic large subunit ribosomal RNA
Rfam family: Eukaryotic large subunit ribosomal RNA
Source: RNAcentral